ACCAACGAGUUGUAUGGGAAAGUAUCAGCAAGACCUCCACAGACGCUGCAGAUCGCAGCAGCAAACAGAAGCAGAUUCUCCUCUCCCGGCCCCUUCAGAGUCCAGGUUUAUCUCCAAGACCAAGGUCAAACACAGUGGACACAGUGGACACAGUGGACAUGCAGAGGUGCGCGGACCCGUGCUUGCACCUUACCUGCACUUCAUCAAAGAGUGUCCUCACUUGUUGCAGUGGUACUGGGAUGCUUCCAAGACCACUCAGGGGCAGAUGAGACACCUCAACCAACCAUUUACGGAGCUUCUCUGCCAUUUCUCUAUAGCGUUGCCAUUGGCGAAUCUGGCUGUCGAUGAUACCUCUUCUCUGUUGGGCCCUGCGAAUCACUCCUUGCCAUUGGUUACUGAGGAGUGUCAACUUCAGGCUGAACUCCUCCCUGGAGAAGAAAUAAUUAGAUGGGGGAGGGGACACAUAACCCAUAGUCUUGGGUAGAGUCACAGGAUCAGCCAGUAUACAUUUUCCAUAAAUGGUAUGCCCUGAGAAAAAGGAUCUAUGACAAACGACUUCAAAUUAGCUGUGGUCUGUUUGCUGGGUUGAAAGUAAUCAAGUUAGACUGCCAGUCUGCAAGUGGUGAGUGUUUUCGUAUCUCAGAACAGAUAAAAAAGCAAAUCUAUGGCAAUUAUCAUGUACUCUUUCCUUAAGUAUGUAUGUGUGUGGCAGUGACAGUCUCUUGUGCCUUACAAAGCAUAUGACAAGGAACCUGCCCACAAACUCCCUCCCCAGCUAGAAUCAUAUGCCAUUUUGGAAAAUCAAAAUCAACCCACUUAAAUUACACUACAUUAAAAUUUUUGUUUUUUCUUUAAAAAA
RNAcentral lists this long non-coding RNA (859 nucleotides) under Rattus norvegicus (Norway rat). Its description in RNAcentral is "long non-coding RNA NONRATT000153". The record is from RNAcentral. Lineage: Eukaryota; Metazoa; Chordata; Mammalia; Rodentia; Muridae.